UCCAGAUAGGUACCAUUAUGAGACAAUUGCAGGGUGCAGUCAUCAAGCUGUAGAACAAAAUUCAGACCAUUAGAUUACAGCAGUCUUUCUCUCUAACAUAUCUCUAACACUGCCCUCCCAUUUACUACUACGCCAGACAAGAUGUCCCUAAAACAAACAAUAUGAUGGGAGCAGUACAGUUGUAAGUAGAGUUUCUGAGCCCCUGGAUGCAGACAGAAGGAAGAAAGAGCUGUUUUGUGAGCCACUGAAUGGCCCCUGUGAGGACAGAUAUAGCCAAGAGACAGAGCAAAGGCCAGGCACUAACCAGCCUCAGAGGGUGCAGGAACAACAAUCCUAGGCAGUGGCUGGGGGUGGACUGGAAACCUGUGCCAGCCUCCUACAAAGAAGACCUAGGAUGAAUCAUCCCAAAACUCUGGCUAACUCAUUGACCAGGAACACAAAAUAGUUACUGAUCAAGAGAGAAAACUAAAGAAGCUGAGAGAAGAGCUAGAAAGGAACAUGAGCUAGUCUCUCACCAUGACAUAACUCAGUGUCAAAUAACAAAUAAUGAGGAAAAAAAGCCUUCCCAGGGCAGGAGAACAGGACAACAUUUACCAAGGGCCAAGUGAAUGUACAGGGCUGUCCUGCCUCAGCACUAGGGUUAAGUGACCAUCUGCUCAGAGAAUCCAGCCCAGAAGCACAGAAAUGGACAUAUGUGAGUCCAGUUGAACGCGCUGCUGGGACCAUCAUGUGCAGCACUGCACUGUGGGUUCUUCUGCAACUGCUUCCAAGAUCACAAAUAUUGUAAGCUCCAGAUGUGCUGUACUGCUAAAUACAAAAUCCACUCUGACAGCCAAACAGAACAGGGAACGAUUAAGGCUGGAGAGGACCUCUAUGAUCAUUGAGUCUCACUGUUAACACAGCACAUGUUAACCACAAAAGUAUGCUCCUCCAUGCCACAUCCACACGUCUUUUGAACACUGCAGGGAUGGCAAUUCCACCACUUCACUGGAGAGCCUGUUCCAACACCUGGUCACUCUUUCGGUGAAGAAAUUUUUUCUAACAUCCAAUUUAAACCUCUACAGGUGGAACUUGAGGCCAUUUCCUCUUGUCACAGAAUCAUAGAAUGGUUUGCGUUGGAAGGAGCCUUAAUCACCUACUUCCAAUCCCCUAUGUCAUAGUUUUCCUGCUGCACAAUGGGUUCCACUUCCUCCUGUUGGUUGCCCAUGCCCACGCUGCAUGCGUAUGUGUAGAUGUACUUCAUUUGGGUGAUAAAUCCCACUGCCUUUUCUUGGGAAGAAGCUCCGAUUCCUGCAUGAGCAUUCCCAAGUGCUUCUGCAGUUUCUAGCACAUCAAUAAUCCUUGCUGCUGCAUGGAUCUCUAUCCCCUACCACUAACAGGACAGCGGACCAAAGGACCUCAUUAGCACACUGUCUCUCAAACAGUGGCAUGCUGCCUCCAGGUCUGUCUUCAGUGAUCGUGAUUUUAUGCCCUCACCCUUCCAAAUCUUGUUUAAAGCUGUAACUGCACCAGAGGGGGAAGUGCUGCAGCCGAAAGGCUGGAACUGGGUUUUCUGGUUCUGUUUGUUGUUAAUGCUGUAGUUGUUGUUGUUGUUUGUUUAUUAUACACACUAGUAAAGAACUGUUAUUCCUAUUCCCAUAUCUUUUUGCCUGAGAGCCCCUUAAUUUCCAAAAUGAUAAUAAUUCGGAGGGAGGGGGUUCAUAUUCUCCAUUCCAAGGGAGAAUGGAGAAUAUGAACCUUCCCUAGCAGACACCUGUCUUUCAAACCAAAACAAUCAAAGAACCCAAAAUGAAGAUGGUUUCAUUCCUAUGGAUUUAGCAAAAACAAACCAACAGUUUCAUUGCAUGCCUCCGUCUAUCAAAAGGCAACCAUGGCAAUGGUGAUGUAACCAUACAUCCCUGCUGCUAAGACCACUUUGAGAAGAGUCAAAUAUUUAACACCAUACUUAAUGCCCAUCUUCUGCAACAGGUGGCAGCCAAUGACUCUCUGAAGGUGUAAGCAGGGAUCUGAAACAGCCAGUGACUCAAGGAAAGGAAAUUACCACCCUUUAUCACUUCCAUAGAUUUUUCUUUCUGCUCUUUUUAAUACUUAGAAAGAAAAUCAAUUAAAGUCUAUCCUUGAUGAAUUACCUCUUUUAAUUUCCCAUCCAAGCUUUGAUUCUCAGUACCUGUUCAGGAAAAGCAUAAUAAGCAGCCACUCGUCUUAUCUGGCAGUCAACACCUAAACUUAGUCACUCUGUUUCCUGCCACCGAUUUAGAUACAAGAAAGGAAGACAAAUAGUGUAUUCUGGAUUAGCUGCAUUGGAAAUACUGUAGAAAAGCUCAUUUACAGUUAGUGAUAGAGUGUGACUUUUGCAAUUUGAAAGAAAAUUCUCUGGAGAAAAGAUAGAGGAUGUCAAGUUGUAUUUCAAAAUUUUUUCCAUUUUUUUUGCUUUUCUUUUUUGGAUUUUUCCCUGGUGAAGGAGUAAGCCAUUAAAUAAGGUGACAUAAGAUUUUACUCUGAUUCCUAGGGAUUACAGAAAGCAAAGAACCUGCAAGUGCAACCAUCUAAUAUUAAAAAUACAAUAGCAGUGCUACUCUGUCUCUUUCCAGUUACAAAGGAGAUUAUUAACCUAUGUUAAUUCAAAAUACACUCUUCAGAAAAGAAAGACUAAAUACUAGUCUGGGAAACUUUUUCCAAGUAGUUCAGGGUAUGUAAUGAAAUGCUAAUUUAUUCAAAGUAAUGCCAAAAGGCAAACUACUAAUUAGAUAAGUGUUGUGCUGUCUCUAUGGAGAUUAGGAGAUUUGCCCACAAUUUCCAUUUAUACUGCAUAAUUAGAGAAAAGAAGUUGAGCCUUACUAAUAUCUUGUGACUUUAGGGUACAAAAAGCACUAGGGGAACAGGAAGUCCUUCAUUGACAAAAUAAGUAAGAAUAGUACAUUGUACUUAUGUUCAUCUCAUUUUCAUAGUUUCAGCUGAACAUGGUAUUCAUUCAGGCUUUAAGGAUCUGUACAUUGCAUGCUGCAUUUUGUUAGCAGGAGUUACAGUAAUGAGAGAAAUGGCAAUAUCUUUUAUUUCCCUUACUUAAUUCUGAGUCUUGCCAAAAAGUUGGGUGUUUUUUAUUCUCUUUCAUGUGUACACACAAAGAUGGAAGCGAUCAAAACAACACUUUAGAAGUUGGUUCUUUGGAAAACAUCCAUGGUAUAUUUCUGAAUCCACAUGAACAUUUUUGAAAUCUCUACAAAGAGUGGGACUGCCUAGGAGUAGUCUUAUUCACACAAGUGAGGAAACAAAAACACAUGCCACAUUCAAAAAAAUAAGUGCUUUAGUCAGACUCACCAGCUGUGGGUAGUCAGACCUGUGCACUGGGUUUACAGGAAGGAAGCAAAGAAAUUAAGACUGUCUGUACUCAGGUCAUCCUCAUUAAAAAUGUAAUUGAUAUACCAAUUAUCAUCUUCAGUUUCAUCCUGAAAUGGCAAGAUCUGUACUCUGUCAUGACAAGAUCCGUAUCAAGAGGUAGCAGUUGCUUAGGUGCUGAUUCACUGAUUUAUAGCUGUCUUUUUGAACAAGAGGAGAACCUGGAAAAAGCUUCUUAAGCAGCACUGACCUCACUAGCUACUCACUGAUUUUCCAUAACUGACCAGAAACACAGAAACAGUGAGACAAUCAGAUGCUUGUGUACAACAGCCUGACAUAUAAGUAGAGCAACUAAAUCAAACCACCAUUUCUGUAAUAAAAGUUCUAG
Long non-coding RNA from Passer domesticus (house sparrow), 3724 nucleotides. RefSeq lists it as uncharacterized. NCBI's taxonomy places the organism in Eukaryota, Metazoa, Chordata, Aves, Passeriformes, Passeridae. The transcript has 5 exons. The record is from RefSeq and is a predicted model, not a curated record.